CACUGCUACAGCCCACAUGGUUUCAGAGAGAUGUAGUCCAUUGGUAGAAGACACACAGAAGUCCAACAAGAACAGUAAAAAGGCUAGAAAAUGCAACCUAUUGCUAGUGAAAGCACUUUAACUGGAAAGACUAUGACACAUCAUCUCAAGAAAGAAAGAUAAGGGUGAUUUUUUUUCCCCACAUUUGCAGAAAUUUUUCCAUACACUUCUUUGGAUUGAAAAGCCUCAUCUUUGGGAUACAUACCACAAGGCAGAAGGAUAAACCAAAAUCCUCUUUGGCUGUUAUUGCAGCAUGUUGCAGGAAUCCCCUAUAUCCUUUGGGACAGAGCAGAAAGCAUUGUAACAACAUUUCAAAGGAAAUAAAGCGUGCAGAAUGUACUACCCCAAAAUGAACCUCACCUAUAGUGGCUUCCUAGACCUUAGAGGUGUUCAGUUGCUGUUUUUCAUAAGCACCACUUUGAUGCCCCCUGUUUUGCCUUAGGUGUUGGCUGUAGAUUUUGCUGGCUUUGCAAUUGUGCUUUUAAGUCAGUGCAGGCAUUUUCC
Molecule: long non-coding RNA, 543 nt
Organism: Cyanistes caeruleus (blue tit)
Lineage: Eukaryota; Metazoa; Chordata; Aves; Passeriformes; Paridae
Source: RefSeq, a predicted model, not a curated record